AUGAAGAACGUAGCGAAAUGCGAUACUUGGUGUGAAUUGCAGAAUCCCGUGAACCAUCGAGUCUUUGAACGCAAGUUGCGCCUGAGGCCAUUAGGCUGAGGGCACGCCUGCAUGGGCGUCACGC
This 124-nucleotide ribosomal RNA is filed under the name Plagiobothrys fulvus var. campestris. RNAcentral describes it as "5.8S ribosomal RNA". It matches the Rfam family "5.8S ribosomal RNA", at positions 36 to 154 of the family's 154-position model. Rfam says of the family: 5.8S ribosomal RNA (5.8S rRNA) is a component of the large subunit of the eukaryotic ribosome. It is transcribed by RNA polymerase I as part of the 45S precursor that also contains 18S and 28S rRNA. Functionally, it is thought that 5.8S rRNA may be involved in ribosome translocation. The record is from RNAcentral. RNAcentral also lists the same sequence under 1 other name. Lineage: Eukaryota; Viridiplantae; Streptophyta; Magnoliopsida; Boraginales; Boraginaceae.